UUCCGGUUGAUCCUGCCGGAGGACAUUGCUAUUGGGAUUCGAUUUAGCCAUGCUAGUCGUGCGAAUUAGAUUCGCGGCAGAUAGCUCAGUAACACGUGGCCAAGCUACCCUUCAGACCAGAAUAACCUCGGGAAACUGAGGCUAAGACUGGAUACGGGACGCCUGCUGGAAUGCGGCGUCCUCCAAACGUUUCGGCGCUGAAGGAUGCGGCUGCGGCCGAUUAGGUAGACGGUGGGGUAACGGCCCACCGUGCCAAUAAUCGGUACGGGUGAUGAGAGUCAGAGCCCGGAGACGGAAUCUGAGACAAGAUUCCGGGCCCUACGGGGCGCAGCAGGCGCGAAACCUUUACACUGCACGCAAGUGCGAUAGGGGAAUCCCAAGUGCGAGGGCAUAUUAGCCCUCGCUUUUGUUGACUGUAAGGAGGUCAACGAAUAAGAGCUGGGCAAGACCGGUGCCAGCCGCCGCGGUAAUACCGGCAGCUCGAGUGAUGUCCCAUAUUAUUGGGCCUAAAGCGUCCGUAGCUGGCCAGCCAAGUUCGUCGGGAAAUCCACCUGCCCAACAGGUGGGCGUCCGGCGAAAACUGUCUGGCUUGGAACCGGAAGGCUCAGAGGGUACGUCCGGGGUAGGAGUGAAAUCCCGUAAUCCCGGACGGACCACCGAUGGCGAAAGCACUCUGAGAGGACGGAUUCGACAGUGAGGGACGAAAGCUAGGGUCUCGAACCGGAUUAGAUACCCGGGUAGUCCUAGCUGUAAACGAUGCUCGUUAGGUGUGGCACCCACUACGAGUGGGUGCUGUGCCGUAGGGAAGCCGCUAAACGAGCCGCCUGGGAAGUACGUCCGCAAGGAUGAAACUUAAAGGAAUUGGCGGGGGAGCACUACAACCGGAGGAGCCUGCGGUUUAAUUGGAUUCAACGCCGG
RNAcentral lists this ribosomal RNA (918 nucleotides) under uncultured archaeon. RNAcentral's name for it is "bacterial SSU rRNA". It matches the Rfam family "Archaeal small subunit ribosomal RNA", at positions 1 to 921 of the family's 1478-position model. The record is from RNAcentral.